GAGAGCUCUGCUCUCUUGGUCUCUCUCCCAACGUGUAUCUCUCUCCCUCUCCCUCUCCUCUUUUUUUAUUCUCCAUUGUUGCUCAAUUUUUGAGUUUCAAAUGGAAAUCUUUAGAGUGAGAUUUUGCAAAAGUGUUGUAAAUGAAAGUUGGAGAGCUCGUCGUGAUCUUCGCAAUGGUGUUCUCGGAUUCAUGAUCGGGUGAUGUUUGCAUUUUCAGAUUAGCUUUUCUUCACAUUUGAGGGAAUGCUUUUCGGAUUUGAAGAUCAAACAAUGGGUUUUACCAUUUCAUAAGUAUAAUGUAGUAAUGGAUUGUACUACUUUAUUUGUUGUUUGGCUUAGUGCUAUUUUUUUUUUUUUUUGUAAAGAGUAGUAUCUCCUCUUUUAUUGUAAGCCUUAGGGCAUUUCUUUUAUUUGUAUGUAAAUGUCAUUGUUGUAUAACGAGAGGGAAUAUGUAUAUUUAAUUAUUCAUCAUUUCAUCCAAUGAUGAAAUGUUAUUUGUAAAUGGACUGAAUUAAUGAAUAUUUGCAAUGUUAUCCGAGUGAUAAAAUAC
This is a non-coding RNA of Camellia sinensis, 550 nucleotides long. The record is from RefSeq and is a predicted model, not a curated record. NCBI's taxonomy places the organism in Eukaryota, Viridiplantae, Streptophyta, Magnoliopsida, Ericales, Theaceae.